RNAcentral lists this long non-coding RNA (1354 nucleotides) under Anser cygnoides (Swan goose). RNAcentral describes it as "lncRNA (ENSACDG00005010245.1)". Lineage: Eukaryota; Metazoa; Chordata; Aves; Anseriformes; Anatidae. The record is from RNAcentral.
GUGGAACCCAACAAAAUGUUUCGUCAGGAUGACUCAAGAGAUUUCCCUGUUCUUGCUGAAGCAGAUAGCCAGAGCCAGCAGCAUGAUAGAUCCCAGCCAGAUAGAUCCCAAACAGGAUGCAGGCAUCUGACUUCGGCAUGGAAAGAAAUAGCUGAAACCAGGGCAAUGGAAGCUUACAGGUUUACAAGCCGUGCCCCACCUACCAGCACACACUCGGCUGGUGAACGUCCCUUGGGCCUGUUUGUAAUUCACGCAGUGACAGAGAGUGGGAAGGCUGUGAAACUGCUGGCUGGGCUUGAUAACUAUCGGUUGCAGCGUGAACCACCUCGAUGUUGGGUCAGGGACUGUACCGAGCAGGCCUGCUCAACAAAUCAUGCUUCUGGAAGGCAUCUGUCGCAACAGAAUUUCCCAGCUGAGGAAGAUUGCUUGAGCUCCUCGAUAAGAGAGGAAUUUUUUUCAAUGGAUGAAGGCUGUGAUGACUCUGGGACAGCCAGCACCCAGGCAGAUGUUACCAGUGAUGAUGCUAUCACAAGUUUUGCAAAGGAGUAUUCACUAGUUCCCUCAAAUAAGCAAAAGAGUUGUUCUGCUCAGAAUUUUGACCAGCUAGUAGAAAGCUAUUUUGAAGGGAUCUGAGCUUCAGCACAUCUGUUUGUAAUUUGGGAUCCAAAUCAUUUUGGAGAUGCAAAUGACAGUCUUCAUGUACACAGUUUAUAGCAACAUAGGCUAAACCCUGCAUUAAAACCGUGAAGGUUCAAAUAGGGUAAAGCCCAGUAUAUUUCUCUUAGAUUGGCAGCCAGCUAAAAAGACAAAAACUGGAAUGAAAAUAGAUCCUUCAUAUCAGUUGCUGCCUUCUUGGGGAGUUUAGAAACCUGUAAUAAUCAUAAGGCAUUAAAAAUGGGAAAAUGACUUUGAGUCUAAGCUAAUGUAAUGACUAUUUCUUUUGCAAUUGUGAGGGAAAUACCAAGAAAUAUGGUUGUAUUUUGUCUCUUUCUCAGCAGUAGAGUCUCAUUUUAAUAACUUCUUGAAGAAUAUUUGAAAUUCAAAGCCCUUGUAUAUGCCAGUAUUUCCUUUCACUAAGUGCUUUAAUUUACUCUAUAGAGGCCUAGAGGGUUUAGUGUUUGUUUUUGUUUUUUUAUUUUUAUUGGUCUACAUCUUAAAAAUUCUAAUCCAAUGCAUAUAUUUUGUUAUUGUACAUAGCUGUUUAUAUAUGAAUAAUGUGAAACAACUAGGGCACAUCCUACUUAAAAAUGGGGGGGGAGUAACAAACAGACCCACUAGCUGGGGUUAAUUGUUCAUGUGAAAUGAAUAAUAUCCUUGUAAUAAACAUUUAUUUUUCUGUUGUGUUUGUGAGAUA